Molecule: long non-coding RNA, 337 nt
Filed under: Mytilus galloprovincialis (Mediterranean mussel)
Lineage: Eukaryota; Metazoa; Mollusca; Bivalvia; Mytilida; Mytilidae
Source: RNAcentral
AUCAGAAAAACACAUCAUGAAAACUACCUAUCAGAUCUAAAAAUUUAAGACCUAUCAGAUGUAGAGUGUCUGUUCAUAUUGUGAUGGAUGGGCUUUCAUGGGAAAAAAUGACCAACUGCUGUAAGACCCUCAGAAGUUUUUUGCGUAUAAUUGCAUGUGUCAGAUGAAAAUAAAACCAAAAUAACACCCCUAAGAUGUAUGAAUUUUACACCCUUCAGAAAGGAACACCAAUCCCCCUUUAGCAGACAUUAACUGGAAUGGCCCAUUGUGGUCUUGAAGUUAUAAAGGAAAACAAAAUAAGAUUUAUAAAAUUUUAUGAAUUUUAUUUAUCUACCUG